GAUGAAGAACGCAGCGAAAUGCGAUAAGUAGUGUGAAUUGCAGAAUUCAGUGAAUCAUCGAAUCUUUGAACGCACAUUGCGCCUCCUGGCAUUCCGGGAGGCAUGCCUGUUCGAGCGUCAUCAAACCCCAUCGUGCAAAUGAAUUAUUUUUUUUGCGCGGAAGUGACGAUUGAGCGAGAAUAACAAAUCCUCUUGCACCUCGUCGAAAUGAUUGCGGGCGGAAUUUGGGAUCGGGUUCCUCGGCGUAGUGUAUCAAUGCAUAUUUAUGCAACUUGCCGCGGAGUUGAGCCUGACCCACGCGUUCUCGCCGUACAAACACCUCAUUACUUUACAAGUUUUUGACCUCGGAUCAGGUAGGGAUACCCGCUGAACUUAAGCAUAUCAAUAAGCGGAGGA
Molecule: unclassified non-coding RNA, 396 nt
Filed under: soil metagenome
Description: partial contains 5.8S ribosomal RNA, internal transcribed spacer 2, and large subunit ribosomal RNA
Rfam family: 5.8S ribosomal RNA (bases 1-120)
Source: RNAcentral